UACGUAGGGGGCUAGCGUUGUCCGGAUUUAUUGGGCGUAAAGAGCGUGUAGGCGGCCAGGUAGGUCUGCUGUGAAAACUCGAGGCUUAACCUCGAGAUGUCGGUGGAAACCAUCUGGCUAGAGUCCGGAAGAGGAGAGUGGAAUUCCUGGUGUAGCGGUGAAAUGCGCAGAUAUCAGGAAGAACACCCGUGGCGAAGGCGGCUCUCUGGCCCGGUACUGACGCUGAGGUGCGAAAGCGUGGGGAGCAAACAGG
This 253-nucleotide ribosomal RNA is filed under the name uncultured bacterium. Its description in RNAcentral is "partial 16S ribosomal RNA". It matches the Rfam family "Bacterial small subunit ribosomal RNA", at positions 524 to 776 of the family's 1533-position model. The record is from RNAcentral.